UGCAUAGAGACUUGUUACUGCCCUGUGGUUUUCUGUCAGUUGCAAAAGAGCAACCUGAGCCCAUAACACAAACCCAAACAAGGAAGUCUAAAAGACUGCAGUCAAGUGCGACAAAAAGAGGUGCUGGACAUGAAGUUCCAGAGGAUUCGCUGCUGGACAGCGAGGAUGAAGAUGUGGAGUAUUAUUACUAUCCUCCAACAAAGAUGGUGACUGAUGUUGGAACCCGAAACGAUGAUGAACAGGACAGAGACAUGCAAAUUGGAUCUGAAGACCAAGUGUUGGACACAAAUGAACUUGCCAGUGAGAGAACAGAAACUGACAAUACAGAACAGGACGUGACAAACGAACAUGUUUCAGUGCCAUCACUUAAUCCUGAAGCUUCACCAUUUGAGCCACACGAGCCAAAAGAGACCAUAUCAGAAGAGCAGCAGCUCAAGGGUGAGUUAACCCAGUCACCCACACCUCGAAUGUCCAUCCAACCACCAGACCAUGUCAUAAUAGAUAUUGGCAACCCUGAAACAUCUGAAACUGUUAUCCCUAUUGGAACGGACAACCAGGAAGGGAAUGUUGAAGUAAGGAGAUCAACAAGAGAAAGAACCCAUCCCAAGAGACUCACCUACCCAUCCUUAGGAAACCCACUUGUGGUAGUUAUGCAGUCUUUACUUGGUGGCUUAGACAACGCACUACAAAUAGCCCUUGAACGUGACUUUUAUGCCCCUGUAUUUGAUGCUUAGGAGAUGUUGACAUGCAGGGACGCAUGCAAUUAAUGGGGGGGAGGAUGUAACCCACAUGUAUAUGUGUGGUACUGUUAGUGGUAUUUUAUUUCUGUAGGAUUUUGUUUUGUUAUUUAAUGUUCCCAGCAAUUUAGUUAUAUUUUCAUUUUGAGUUUUCUUGUCAUACCAGAAACCGCCAGCAGGUGGCUUGUGAGUUACACUCUGGUUUAGACAGCAGAAAACUAUUAGAAGAAGAAGAAAACCGUAGCUGGCUGUAGCACGUUGUGCGAAUUACUGCAUGCUAUAAGAUAAAUUCUUGAUUAAUUCCGGUAACGGUUAAGAGAAAAGAAGAUCCGUGACCUGAUCCCUGGCAGUAAAACACAUUUUUACUGUGAUUUUCUCUGGUGGGUUUUUUUAGAACCCCAUUCAACUUUGAAGACUGUCCAGCUGCAUAGCAUCGCAGGCCUGGAUUGGAUUGCUGAGCUCCAGGGUUCAACUCAAGACCUGGGACUGCUGGAUCCGCUGCCUACUUUGCACCGGAUAAGAUAAGAUUUUGGAUCCAAAGAAACACAUGGCCAUUUAACAAAGACUUGACUGACUGACUUAAAUUACUGAACUAAGAAAACAAAACUUCCAAAGGACGAACUGAACUAUAAGGAAUCUGAACCAAAAGAAAAUACACUGCCUGAUAAAAAAGGUGGACACUUUAUGUU
Molecule: long non-coding RNA, 1426 nt
Organism: Xiphophorus hellerii (green swordtail)
Lineage: Eukaryota; Metazoa; Chordata; Actinopteri; Cyprinodontiformes; Poeciliidae
Exons: 2
Source: RefSeq, a predicted model, not a curated record